This 505-nucleotide ribosomal RNA is filed under the name uncultured bacterium. RNAcentral describes it as "partial 16S ribosomal RNA". It matches the Rfam family "Bacterial small subunit ribosomal RNA", at positions 28 to 507 of the family's 1533-position model. The record is from RNAcentral.
GACGAACGCUGGCGGCGUGCCUAAUACAUGCAAGUAGAACGCACAGUUUAUACCGUAGCUUGCUACACCAUAAACUGUGAGUUGCGAACGGGUGAGUAACGCGUAGGUAACCUGCCUGGUAGCGGGGGAUAACUAUGGGAAACGAUAGCUAAUACCGCAUAAUAUUAAUUAUUGCAUGAUAAUUGAUUGAAAGAUGCAAUUGCAUCACUACCAGAUGGACCUGCGUUGUAUUAGCUAGUAGGUGAGGUAACGGCUCACCUAGGCGACGAUACAUAGCCGACCUGAGAGGGUGAUCGGCCACACUGGGACUGAGACACGGCCCAGUCUCCUACGGGAGGCAGCAGUAGGGAAUCUUCGGCAAUGGACGAAAGUCUGACCGAGCAACGCCGCGUGAGUGAAGAAGGUUGUCGGAUCGUAAAGCUCUGUUGUAAGAGAAGAACGGGUGUGCGAGUGGAAAGUUCACACUGUGACGGUAUCUUACCAGAAAGGGACGGCUAACUACGUG